Molecule: unclassified non-coding RNA, 342 nt
Filed under: soil metagenome
Description: partial contains 5.8S ribosomal RNA, internal transcribed spacer 2, and large subunit ribosomal RNA
Rfam family: 5.8S ribosomal RNA (bases 1-120)
Source: RNAcentral
GAUGAAGAACGUAGCGAAAUGCGAUACGUAAUGUGAAUUGCAGAAUUCAGUGAAUCAUCGAGUCUUUGAACGCACAUUGCGCCCUCUGGUAUUCCGGAGGGCAUGCCUGUCCGAGCGUCAUUGCUGCCCUCAAGCACGGCUUGUGUGUUGGGCCCCGUCCUCCUUCCGGGGGACGGGUCCGAAAGGCAGCGGCGGCACCGCGUCCGGUCCUCAAGCGUAUGGGGCUUUGUCACUCGCUUUGUAGGCCUGGCCGGCGCUUGCCGAUCAACCAAACUUUUUAUCAGGUUGACCUCGGAUCAGGUAGGGAUACCCGCUGAACUUAAGCAUAUCAAUAAGCGGAGA